CCACGCAUUGCUACCUCUUCUUACUUCUGGUCCAGGCGUUUCUUUUCACCGAUAUUUUAGAAUUAUUGGAAAGGGCCCCAAAGGCCUUGGAAUCUGCAUUACAUAACGAUGGUGGUGAUACAAGUUACAUAGAGGUGUUAAAAAAUUUACAGUACAUCCCCAUAGAAUUUACUAGAAGGCCUGUAACAUAAAAAGUGAGAAAAGCAAUCAGAUCCCGCACCACCAGUCUUGCAUUGAAGCUCCAGAGCACGGACGACCUCAUUGCUGUGAUAAACAGCACCCCGCGGGCCUGCGAUGCAGCAAUGGAGUUUAAAAAACGACGACGGGGGAUUUCCCAAGGCCAACGACAGGCAAGAUGAGCCGGCUGUAGAAACAUCGACUGCUGUGAUGAGAGGUUGUGGCAAAGGUGGUCAACCAUCCUACAAAAAGUAAAUGAUAAUCUAUACGAAU
RNAcentral lists this long non-coding RNA (450 nucleotides) under Hordeum vulgare. RNAcentral's name for it is "long non-coding RNA (HVUL_LNC013060)". The record is from RNAcentral. Lineage: Eukaryota; Viridiplantae; Streptophyta; Magnoliopsida; Poales; Poaceae.